CAGUCGCCGCGGGAAUACAGAGGGUGCGAGCGUUAAUCGGAUUUACUGGGCGUAAAGCGUGCGUAGGCGGCUUUUUAAGUCGGAUGUGAAAUCCCUGAGCUUAACUUAGGAAUUGCAUUCGAUACUGGGAAGCUAGAGUAUGGGAGAGGAUGGUAGAAUUCCAGGUGUAGCGGUGAAAUGCGUAGAGAUCUGGAGGAAUACCGAUGGCGAAGGCAGCCAUCUGGCAUAAUACUGACGCUGAGGUACGAAAGCAUGGGGAGCAAACAGGAUUAGAUACCCCCGUAGUCCCUGUCUCUUAUAC
Molecule: ribosomal RNA, 301 nt
Filed under: uncultured bacterium
Lineage: Bacteria
Description: partial 16S ribosomal RNA
Rfam family: Bacterial small subunit ribosomal RNA
Source: RNAcentral